GCCCCCAUGGCUCAAUGGAUAGAGCACCGGUCUUCUAAACCGAUGGCUGCAGGUUCGAGUCCUGCUGGGGGCG
Molecule: transfer RNA, 73 nt
Filed under: Flexilinea sp.
Lineage: Bacteria; Bacillati; Chloroflexota; Anaerolineae; Anaerolineales; Anaerolineaceae
Description: tRNA-Arg
Rfam family: tRNA
About the family: Transfer RNA (tRNA) molecules are approximately 80 nucleotides in length.
Source: RNAcentral